RNAcentral lists this ribosomal RNA (253 nucleotides) under uncultured bacterium. RNAcentral describes it as "partial 16S ribosomal RNA". It matches the Rfam family "Bacterial small subunit ribosomal RNA", at positions 524 to 776 of the family's 1533-position model. The record is from RNAcentral.
UACGGGGGGGGCAAGCGUUGUUCGGAAUUACUGGGCGUAAAGGGCUCGUAGGUGGCCAACUAAGUCAGACGUGAAAUCCCUCGGCUUAACCGGGGAACUGCGUCUGAUACUGGAUGGCUUGAGUUCGGGAGAGGGAUGCAGAAUUCCAGGUGUAGCGGUGAAAUGCGUAGAUAUCUGGAGGAAUACCGGUGGUGAAGGCGGCAUCCUGGACCGGCAUUGACGCUGAGGAGCGAAAGCUAGGGGAGCAAACGGG